AACGAACGCUGGCGGCAGGCUUAACACAUGCAAGUCGAACGCAUCGCAAGAUGAGUGGCAGACGGGUGAGUGGCGCGUGGGAACAUACCCUUUUCUACGGAAUAGCUCUGGGAAACUGGAAUUAAUACCGUAUACGCCCUACGGGGGAAAGAUUUAUCGGGGAAGGAUUGGCCCGCGUUGGAUUAGCUAGUUGGUGGGGUAAAGGCCUACCAAGGCGACGAUCCAUAGCUGGUCUGAGAGGAUGAUCAGCCACAUUGGGACUGAGACACGGCCCAAACUCCUACGGGAGGCAGCAGUGGGGAAUAUUGGACAAUGGGCGCAAGCCUGAUCCAGCCAUGCCGCGUGAGUGAUGAAGGCCUUAGGGUUGUAAAGCUCUUUCACCGAUAAAGAUAAUGACGGUAGUCGGAGAAGAAGCCCCGGCUAACUUCGUGCCAGCCGCCGCCGUAA
RNAcentral lists this ribosomal RNA (447 nucleotides) under uncultured bacterium. Its description in RNAcentral is "partial 16S ribosomal RNA". It matches the Rfam family "Bacterial small subunit ribosomal RNA", at positions 29 to 523 of the family's 1533-position model. The record is from RNAcentral.